Suricata suricatta (meerkat) is the source of this 2141-nucleotide RNA transcript. It is a transcript of the gene named testis expressed 36, with no coding region annotated. The transcript is spliced from 8 exons. The record is from RefSeq and is a predicted model, not a curated record. Lineage: Eukaryota; Metazoa; Chordata; Mammalia; Carnivora; Herpestidae.
CCCUCAGGGACCCCUGCGGCCCUCCCCCAUUGUGACGGGGAGUCAGAAUUCUAUGACGACAGUGGGCACUCGUGGGCCUCCCCUUCCGGUAGAGGCCGAAGUUCAGGACCAAGGAGGAGGGGCGUCCUCCAGAUGCAGAGGUUGGCAAGGCCAUGGGGAGCUAGGGAGAAAACCUCAGCCGCCUUCGCUUCCUGCCGAAAAUGGUCAAAGGGAGACGCUGCAACCCCCCUUCAGACAAGGACGGACGAUGGUUCCCUCAGAUUGGACUAACACAAAAGACACCAGAAUCCAUCACCAGUGCUAUGUUAAAAGAACCCCACAGUCCACGUUUGUCUCGGCAAGUGGAGGGGAAGCUACCACCAAUCUACAAGGUUCGAGAGAAGCAAGCAGUAGACAAUCACUUCCCCUUCUCUGUACAUGACAAUCGCUACAGCCUUCAGAGCACUGGAUUCUACCUGGACUCUGGCCUGGGACGUAGGAAGAUCUCCCCAGAGAAAAGGCAACACAGUUCAAGAAAUUUCAAUCUUUGGGCGUGUGACUAUGUCCCGUCUUGUCUUGAUGGCUUUUCAAAUAGCCAAAUAUCUUACGUCUGUCAAGAAAUUGUGGUGCUCCCAAUUUUCAGACGCUUCCCAAGACAUUAUAAUGAGAUAUGGAACUCUUUUAAAUGUCUUCCUCAGAGAAGCUAUACAGAGUUUUUGAAAAAGAAUCCAAAGUUCAAACAGUACAGAGGAAACAGAAGUUCCUCUUGAUCUCAUCACACCUCCAACCCUUGUCCGGUCCCCGAAGCCUGGUGCUACAUGAACAUUCUCAAGAGCCUGCCGGGGUGCGUAUCUGCAGGGGUGCGUCUCUGGAGUGAUAUCUGCAGGGUUGCUCUGUCAGUGCUGGACUGGAUGGUGCCCUCACCAACCCUCACUGCCUCACUCCUGCCUCGCCUCACCUACCUCUGCCCAAACGCCAACGGUCUCCAACAGGAGUUACCCCGAAUACAACAUACUCGGGAUGAAAUUCACAGACUCGCCAAAAAGACAGGAGCCAGCUUCAGAAAGUCAGAUCCAAGAAGCAUUGUUUUGGUGUCACCUAAGCGCUGGUCUGGUCGCAUCGCUGAUAGCGGACAACGCGGGUUCCCGGCAGAAAGACCAAGUGUGCUCAGGACCCAGGGUCCUAGAGUCGUUCACAGGAUUAUAAGCGACCUUACCAGCAUCUGGCCUGCCCUGCCUGAGAACACAGUGCAAUUCUUUGGCCUGAAGGGAAAGCCUUAAAACUGUCUUAAAUAUUCUCUUGCCGCUUAUAACCUUGGUCUGAGCGUCCGCCCGGCCGUGAGUGACGUGUGCACUCCUUCCACACACGCUGUGGCAGUCCCCAAAGAGGAAGGACAAGUCUCAACAACAUCCCUCGGGAGAAAUCGGAUUUUCCCCCUGAAAACACACAGGCACCGAGGUCUAACCAACGCCUGACACCUGUCACAUUCAGGAUCUUUGAAAGGCAGGACUUGGCCCUGCGCACUCACACUCGCAGGAGAGCGCAGUGUCGCUACCCGAUCAGGACAGCUCUGAUCAAAGCAGAUAUGUUUGCCAAUUCGACCCGGCCUGAUUUCUAGCUCCUCCUUAACAGGGCUCUGCCCGCUUCCCUUUGGGCCUCGUGAGCCACAUUCUCAUGGGCACUGACUGAAUAAAUGCAGGACGUGCCCAAACACCGCACGUGUUUACUCAGCCCUCGAGGACUGUUUCCCAAGUCCCUGCCUUGGGCACCGGGGGACAGGGCUGAGCAGGGCCAGACGCCCCUCCCUCUGCGAGCCUGCAGUCCAGUCUCCCCGCCAGGGGAGGAAAUGCAGCACCCCCCUCGGAAGAGUCAAGAUUUCGAGCUAAGAAUGCCGAUGAAGAGUGGAUCGGGCAAUAAUACUUUGAAAGGUCAUAAUUAUAAUUUUAUUAAGCUGUGAUCAGGGAGAUAAGAUAAAUGUCACAGGAAUGUGUUUCAUGUUGGUUACAUACGAUAUUAAAGAACAAUUAUGAAUUUGCGUUUCUUGCGUACAUGAAAAUUUGGAUCUCUGUAAGGGCAGAAGCGGAGCCUAAUUUUUUAUCUGCUGGAUGAGAAAUUGAUUUUAAUUCUUUCCCUGCUAAUUAAAGGAAAAUUAGAAAAACAAA